AGUUUGAUCCUGGCUCAGGACGAACGCUGGCGGCGUGCUUGAUACAUGCAAGUCAAGGAGAACGUUUUCUUCGGAAAAUUAUUAAACUGGCGAACGGGUGAGUAACGCGUAGGUAAUCUGCCUUAGAGAUUGGGAUAACUCGGCGAAAGCCGGACUAAUACCGAAUAAUGCAGCGACUUCUUCGGGAGAUGCUGUUAAAGCGGGCUUCGGCUCGCACUUUAAGAUGAGCCUGCGACCGAUUAGCUAGUUGGUAAGGUAAUGGCUUACCAAGGCGAUGAUCGGUAACUGGUCUGAGAGGACGAUCAGUCGCACUGGAAUUGAGAUACGGUCCAGACUCCUACGGGAGGCAGCAGUAAGGAAUUUUGCGCAAUGGGCGAAAGCCUGACGCAGCAACGCCGCGUGAUCGAUGAAGCUCUUAGGAGUGUAAAGAUCUGUCAUAAGGGAAGAACAACUUUAAUAAAAAUAUUAUUAGAAUUUGACGGUACCUUAUAAGAAAGCACCGGCUAACUUAGUGCCAGCAGCCGCAGUAAUACUAGGGGUGCAAGCGUUGUCCGGAAUCAUUGGGCGUAAAGGGUGCGUAGGCGUCCAGGAAAGUUAUUUGUUAAAGCCUCCGGCUUAACCGGAGAGAUGCAUAUAAAACUACCUGGAUAGAGUUUAAGAGAGGAAAGUGGAAUUCCUGGUGUAGCGGUGACAUGCGUAGAUAUCAGAGGAACAUCAAUGGCGAAAGCAGCUUUCUGGCUUAAAACUGACGCUGAGGCACGAAAGCAUGGGGAGCAAACAGGAUUAGAUACCCUGGUAGUCC
This 802-nucleotide ribosomal RNA is filed under the name uncultured bacterium. RNAcentral's name for it is "bacterial SSU rRNA". It matches the Rfam family "Bacterial small subunit ribosomal RNA", at positions 10 to 796 of the family's 1533-position model. The record is from RNAcentral.